RNAcentral lists this non-coding RNA (45 nucleotides) under Schistosoma mattheei. The record is from RNAcentral. Lineage: Eukaryota; Metazoa; Platyhelminthes; Trematoda; Strigeidida; Schistosomatidae.
AUCCAGUUGACGAGUCCCAAAUAGGACGAAACGCGCGUUCUGGUU